Molecule: ribosomal RNA, 2789 nt
Filed under: Escherichia coli
Lineage: Bacteria; Pseudomonadati; Pseudomonadota; Gammaproteobacteria; Enterobacterales; Enterobacteriaceae
Description: bacterial LSU rRNA
Rfam family: Bacterial large subunit ribosomal RNA
Source: RNAcentral
AGCGUACACGGUGGAUGCCCUGGCAGUCAGAGGCGAUGAAGGACGUGCUAAUCUGCGAUAAGCGUCGGUAAGGUGAUAUGAACCGUUAUAACCGGCGAUUUCCGAAUGGGGAAACCCAGUGUGAUUCGUCACACUAUCAUUAACUGAAUCCAUAGGUUAAUGAGGCGAACCGGGGGAACUGAAACAUCUAAGUACCCCGAGGAAAAGAAAUCAACCGAGAUUCCCCCAGUAGCGGCGAGCGAACGGGGAGGAGCCCAGAGCCUGAAUCAGUGUGUGUGUUAGUGGAAGCGUCUGGAAAGGCGCGCGAUACAGGGUGACAGCCCCGUACACAAAAAUGCACAUGCUGUGAGCUCGAUGAGUAGGGCGGGACACGUGGUAUCCUGUCUGAAUAUGGGGGGACCAUCCUCCAAGGCUAAAUACUCCUGACUGACCGAUAGUGAACCAGUACCGUGAGGGAAAGGCGAAAAGAACCCCGGCGAGGGGAGUGAAAAAGAACCUGAAACCGUGUACGUACAAGCAGUGGGAGCACAGAGCAAUCUGUGUGACUGCGUACCUUUUGUAUAAUGGGUCAGCGACUUAUAUUCUGUAGCAAGGUUAACCGAAUAGGGGAGCCGAAGGGAAACCGAGUCUUAACUGGGCGUUAAGUUGCAGGGUAUAGACCCGAAACCCGGUGAUCUAGCCAUGGGCAGGUUGAAGGUUGGGUAACACUAACUGGAGGACCGAACCGACUAAUGUUGAAAAAUUAGCGGAUGACUUGUGGCUGGGGGUGAAAGGCCAAUCAAACCGGGAGAUAGCUGGUUCUCCCCGAAAGCUAUUUAGGUAGCGCCUCGUGAAUUCAUCUCCGGGGGUAGAGCACUGUUUCGGCAAGGGGGUCAUCCCGACUUACCAACCCGAUGCAAACUGCGAAUACCGGAGAAUGUUAUCACGGGAGACACACGGCGGGUGCUAACGUCCGUCGUGAAGAGGGAAACAACCCAGACCGCCAGCUAAGGUCCCAAAGUCAUGGUUAAGUGGGAAACGAUGUGGGAAGGCCCAGACAGCCAGGAUGUUGGCUUAGAAGCAGCCAUCAUUUAAAGAAAGCGUAAUAGCUCACUGGUCGAGUCGGCCUGCGCGGAAGAUGUAACGGGGCUAAACCAUGCACCGAAGCUGCGGCAGCGACGCUGAUGCGUUGUUGGGUAGGGGAGCGUUCUGUAAGCCUGUGAAGGUGUGCUGUGAGGCAUGCUGGAGGUAUCAGAAGUGCGAAUGCUGACAUAAGUAACGAUAAAGCGGGUGAAAAGCCCGCUCGCCGGAAGACCAAGGGUUCCUGUCCAACGUUAAUCGGGGCAGGGUGAGUCGACCCCUAAGGCGAGGCCGAAAGGCGUAGUCGAUGGGAAACAGGUUAAUAUUCCUGUACUUGGUGUUACUGCGAAGGGGGGACGGAGAAGGCUAUGUUGGCCGGGCGACGGUUGUCCCGGUUUAAGCGUGUAGGCUGGUUUUCCAGGCAAAUCCGGAAAACUAAGGCUGAGGCGUGAUGACGAGGCACUACGGUGCUGAAGCAACAAAUGCCCUGCUUCCAGGAAAAGCCUCUAAGCAUCAGGUAACAUCAAAUCGUACCCCAAACCGACACAGGUGGUCAGGUAGAGAAUACCAAGGCGCUUGAGAGAACUCGGGUGAAGGAACUAGGCAAAAUGGUGCCGUAACUUCGGGAGAAGGCACGCUGAUAUGUAGGUGAAGUCCCUCGCGGAUGGAGCUGAAAUCAGUCGAAGAUACCAGCUGGCUGCAACUGUUUAUUAAAAACACAGCACUGUGCAAACACGAAAGUGGACGUAUACGGUGUGACGCCUGCCCGGUGCCGGAAGGUUAAUUGAUGGGGUCAGCGCAAGCGAAGCUCUUGAUCGAAGCCCCGGUAAACGGCGGCCGUAACUAUAACGGUCCUAAGGUAGCGAAAUUCCUUGUCGGGUAAGUUCCGACCUGCACGAAUGGCGUAAUGAUGGCCAGGCUGUCUCCACCCGAGACUCAGUGAAAUUGAACUCGCUGUGAAGAUGCAGUGUACCCGCGGCAAGACGGAAAGACCCCGUGAACCUUUACUAUAGCUUGACACUGAACAUUGAGCCUUGAUGUGUAGGAUAGGUGGGAGGCUUUGAAGUGUGGACGCCAGUCUGCAUGGAGCCGACCUUGAAAUACCACCCUUUAAUGUUUGAUGUUCUAACGUUGACCCGUAAUCCGGGUUGCGGACAGUGUCUGGUGGGUAGUUUGACUGGGGCGGUCUCCUCCUAAAGAGUAACGGAGGAGCACGAAGGUUGGCUAAUCCUGGUCGGACAUCAGGAGGUUAGUGCAAUGGCAUAAGCCAGCUUGACUGCGAGCGUGACGGCGCGAGCAGGUGCGAAAGCAGGUCAUAGUGAUCCGGUGGUUCUGAAUGGAAGGGCCAUCGCUCAACGGAUAAAAGGUACUCCGGGGAUAACAGGCUGAUACCGCCCAAGAGUUCAUAUCGACGGCGGUGUUUGGCACCUCGAUGUCGGCUCAUCACAUCCUGGGGCUGAAGUAGGUCCCAAGGGUAUGGCUGUUCGCCAUUUAAAGUGGUACGCGAGCUGGGUUUAGAACGUCGUGAGACAGUUCGGUCCCUAUCUGCCGUGGGCGCUGGAGAACUGAGGGGGGCUGCUCCUAGUACGAGAGGACCGGAGUGGACGCAUCACUGGUGUUCGGGUUGUCAUGCCAAUGGCACUGCCCGGUAGCUAAAUGCGGAAGAGAUAAGUGCUGAAAGCAUCUAAGCACGAAACUUGCCCCGAGAUGAGUUCUCCCUGACUCCUUGA